Molecule: ribosomal RNA, 506 nt
Filed under: uncultured bacterium
Lineage: Bacteria
Description: partial 16S ribosomal RNA
Rfam family: Bacterial small subunit ribosomal RNA
Source: RNAcentral
AUUGAACGCUGGCGGCAGGCUUAACACUUGCAAGUCGAGCGGUAACAGAGAGAAGCUUGCUUCUCUGCUGACGAGCGGCGGACGGGUGAGUAAUGCCUAGGAAUCUGCCUAGUAGUGGGGGAUAACUUGCCGAAAGGUAAGCUAAUACGGCAUACGUCCUACGGGAGAAAGGAGGGGACCUUCGGGCCUUUCGCGAUUAGAUGAGCCUAGGUCGGAUUAGUUAGUUGGUGAGGGAAUGGCUCACCAAGACCGCGAUCCGUAACUGGUCUGAGAGGAUGAUCAGUCACACUGGAACUGAGACACGGUCCAGACUCCUACGGGAGGCAGCAGUGGGGAAUAUUGGACAAUGGGGGGAACCCUGAUCCAGCCAUGCCGCGUGUGUGAAGAAGAUCUUAGGAUUGUAAAGCACUUUAAGUUGGGAGGAAGAGCAGUUAACUAAUAUUUGACUGUUUUGACGUUACCGACAGAAUAAGCACCGGCUAACUUCGUGCCAGCAGCCGCCGUAA